This 560-nucleotide ribosomal RNA is filed under the name Cortinarius leucopus. Its description in RNAcentral is "eukaryotic LSU rRNA". It matches the Rfam family "Eukaryotic large subunit ribosomal RNA", at positions 1 to 556 of the family's 3401-position model. The record is from RNAcentral. Lineage: Eukaryota; Fungi; Basidiomycota; Agaricomycetes; Agaricales; Cortinariaceae.
UGUGACCUCAAAUCAGGUAGGACUACCCGCUGAACUUAAGCAUAUCAAUAAGCGGAGGAAAAGAAACUAACAAGGAUUCCCCUAGUAACUGCGAGUGAAGCGGGAAAAGCUCAAAUUUAAAAUCUGGCGGUCUUUUGGCUGUCCGAGUUGUAAUCUAGAGAAGUGCUAUCCGCGCUGGACCGUGUACAAGUCUCCUGGAAUGGAGCAUCAUAGAGGGUGAGAAUCCCGUCUUUGACAUGGACUGCCAGGGCUUUGUGAUGUGCUCUCAAAGAGUCGAGUUGUUUGGGAAUGCAGCUCAAAAUGGGUGGUAAAUUCCAUCUAAAGCUAAAUAUUGGCGAGAGACCGAUAGCGAACAAGUACCGUGAGGGAAAGAUGAAAAGAACUUUGGAAAGAGAGUUAAACAGUACGUGAAAUUGCUGAAAGGGAAACGCUUGAAGUCAGUCACGUCGUCCAGGGAUCAACCUUGCUUUUGCUUGGUGCACUUUCUGGUUUGACGGGUCAGCAUCAAUUUUGACUAUUGGAAAAAGGCUCUAGGGAAUGUGGCAUCUUUGGAUGUGUUA